This 422-nucleotide ribosomal RNA is filed under the name uncultured bacterium. Its description in RNAcentral is "bacterial SSU rRNA". It matches the Rfam family "Bacterial small subunit ribosomal RNA", at positions 355 to 774 of the family's 1533-position model. The record is from RNAcentral.
UGAGGAAUAUUGGUCAAUGGACGGAAGUCUGAACCAGCCAUGCCGCGUGCAGGAUGACGGCCCUAUGGGUUGUAAACUGCUUUUAUUCGGGAAUAAACCUCUUUACGAGUAGAGAGCUGAAGGUACCGAAUGAAUAAGCACCGGCUAACUCCGUGCCAGCAGCCGCGGUAAUACGGAGGGUGCAAGCGUUAUCCGGAUUUACUGGGUGUAAAGGGCGCGCAGGCGGGAUAAAAAGUCAGUGGUGAAAUCCUACAGCUUAACUGUAGAACUGCCUUUGAUACUUUUAUUCUUGAGUUCGGGAGAGAGAGACGGAAUUCCAGGUGUAGUAGUGAAAUACGUAGAUAUCUGGAAGAACACCAGUUGCGAAGGCGGUCUCUUGGUCCGACACUGACGCUGAGGCGCGAAAGCGUGGGGAGCAAACA